This 244-nucleotide unclassified non-coding RNA is filed under the name Glomeraceae sp. RNAcentral describes it as "partial internal transcribed spacer 2". Lineage: Eukaryota; Fungi; Glomeromycota; Glomeromycetes; Glomerales; Glomeraceae. The record is from RNAcentral.
GUGAAUCAUCAAAUUUUUAACGCAAAUUGCGCUUCCUUGCCUCCCGGGGAGUAUUCCUUGUUGAGGGUCAGUAUUUAUAAAAAAACGGGUUAGUUAAAAAUUGUUACGUUUCCGGGGUUUUGGCUAUCUUUACCUUUUUGGUUAAGAGGCUUAAAAUUGACCUUUUUUGCGCAUUUUUAAACGGACAUAAAUUUUUUUUUUUCGUCUAUUUCUAAUUCCAAAAUCUUAUUAAAUUCCAUCACAU